AAUAUUGCGCAAUGGGGGAAACCCUGACGCAGCGACGCCGCGUGAAGGAAGGAGGUUUUCGGAUUGUAAACUUCUAUCAGCAGGGAAGAUGAUGACAGUACCUGACUAAGAAGCCCCGGCUAACUACGUGCCAGCAGCCGCGGUAAUACGUAGGGGGCAAGCGUUAUCCGGAUUUACUGGGUGUAAAGGGGGCGUAGGUGGCUAGACAAGUCAGAUGUGAAAGCCCGGGGCUCAACUCCGGGACUGCAUUUGAAACUGUAGAGCUAGAGUGCAGGAGAGGUAAGUGGAAUUCCUAGUGUAGCGGUGAAAUGCGUAGAUAUUAGGAGGAACACCAGUGGCGAAGGCGGCUUACUGGACUGUAACUGACACUGAGGCACGAAAGCGUGGGGAGCAAACAGG
This 399-nucleotide ribosomal RNA is filed under the name uncultured bacterium. Its description in RNAcentral is "partial 16S ribosomal RNA". It matches the Rfam family "Bacterial small subunit ribosomal RNA", at positions 360 to 776 of the family's 1533-position model. The record is from RNAcentral.